RNAcentral lists this ribosomal RNA (501 nucleotides) under uncultured bacterium. RNAcentral describes it as "partial 16S ribosomal RNA". It matches the Rfam family "Bacterial small subunit ribosomal RNA", at positions 30 to 523 of the family's 1533-position model. The record is from RNAcentral.
AUUGAACGCUGGCGGCAUGCCUUACACAUGCAAGUCGAACGGCAGCACGGGUGCUUGCACCUGGUGGCGAGUGGCGAACGGGUGAGUAAUACAUCGGAACGUACCUUAUCGUGGGGGAUAACGCAGCGAAAGUUGCGCUAAUACCGCAUACGCCCUGAGGGGGAAAGCGAGGGACCCUAAGGCCUCGCGCGAUUAGAGCGGCCGAUGUCUGAUUAGCUUGGUGGUGAGGUAAAAGCUCACCAAGGCGAUGAUCAGUAACUGGUCUGAGAGGACGAUCAGCCGCACUGGGACUGAGAGCCGGCCCAGACUCCUACGGGAGGCAGCAGUGGGGAAUUUUGGACAAUGGGGGCAACCCUGAUCCAGCAAUGCAGCGUGAGUGAAGAAGGCCUUCGGGUUGUAAAGCUCUUUUGUCAGGGAAGAAACAGCAGCUCUAACACAGUCUGCGAAUGACGGUACCUGAAGAAUAAGCACCGGCUAACUACGUGCCAGCAGCCGCCGCGG